UGCAGCGCCCUAAACAGUCGCCUCGUACGCUGAGCUUGGUGCUUGCACUGGGUGGAUGAGUGGCGAACGGGUGAGUAAUACGUGAGUAACCUGCCCUUGACUCUGGGAUAAGCCUGGGAAACUGGGUCUAAUACUGGAUACGACGGCGCAUCGCAUGGUGUGUUGUGGAAAGGGUUUUACUGGUUUUGGAUGGGCUCACGGCCUAUCAGCUUGUUGGUGGGGUAAUGGCUCACCAAGGCGACGACGGGUAGCCGGCCUGAGAGGGUGACCGGCCACACUGGGACUGAGACACGGCCCAGACUCCUACGGGAGGCAGCAGUGGGGAAUAUGGGGGGGGUGGGCGGAAGCCUGAUGCAGCGACGCCGCGUGAGGGAUGACGGCCUUCGGGUUGUAAACCUCUUUCAGCACGGAAGAAGCGAGAGUGACGGUACGUGCAAAAGAAGCGCCGGCUAACUGGGUGCGCAGCAGCCCGCGGUAA
RNAcentral lists this ribosomal RNA (478 nucleotides) under Kocuria rhizophila. Its description in RNAcentral is "bacterial SSU rRNA". It matches the Rfam family "Bacterial small subunit ribosomal RNA", at positions 39 to 523 of the family's 1533-position model. The record is from RNAcentral. Lineage: Bacteria; Bacillati; Actinomycetota; Actinomycetes; Micrococcales; Micrococcaceae.